ACCUGGAAGUGGAUUUGGGACUAUUAAUGUGCUUGUUUGCAGCUGUGGUCCCGUUUGUUAGUCUGGGGUCCCGUGUGUUCCAACUCCUUCUGCACACAGCAAGGACUACUUGGGACUACUAAUAUGUCCUCCUACACCUUUGUAUUACCUGGUAGUAUUUGGAACUAAAAAGUUCUUAAUCGCACCUGUGGUCCCUUCUGUUGUUACAGGAUCCCAGUGUUGGCCAACUCCCUUUGUAUUACAGCAGAGGGCAUUGGAUUGUUAAUAGGCUUAACUGUAGCUGUGGUCCCUUCUGUUAGUCUAGUAUCCCAAGCCUUCCAACUGCCUUUGUGUUACCUGGGAGUGUAUUUGGAACCGUUCAAUUGCUUAAUUGCAGCUGUUGUCUCUUCUAUUAGUAUAGUUUCCCAUGUCCUCCUAUUCAAUUUACAUUACAACAGAGGGUCCUUGGGAUUGUUAAUUGCUGCUGUUGUACCUUCUGUAAUUCCUGGGAUCCCAUCUCCUCCUACUCUGUUUACACUACCUGGGAGGAUUUUUGGGACUGUUAGAAGGCGCCACACAACUAAAUCGAGCAUUUUUUGUUAGUAUCGUUCCCAUGCCCUCCUAUUUUCUUUGCAUUACAACAGAUGGUACUUGGGACUGUUAAAGUACUUAAUUGCAGGUGUGGUCCCAUCCAUUAGUCUAGGAUCUCAUUCCCUUCUCCCUUUACAUUAUUGGGAGCAGAUACGGGAAUGUUAACGAGCUUAAUUACAGUUGUUGUCCCUUCUAUUAGUCUAGUUUCCAGUCCCUUCCAACUCCCUUUGCAUUACUUAGGAACAGAUUUGAGACUGUAAUAUGCUUACUUGCAGCUGUGGACCCUUCUGUUAGUCUAGCAUCCCAUGCCCUCUAACUUUCUGUCCAUUACAGCAGAGGAUAUUUGGGACUUUUAAUGGGCUUAAUUGCAGUCCUGAUCCCUUUUGUUAACCUAGGAUCCUAUGUCCUCCAACUCACUUUGCAUUACCUGAGGAUGUAUUUGGGACUGUUUAAAUGCUCAGUUGGAGCUGUGGUCCCUUUUGUGUGUCUAGUUUCCCAUGCCCUCCUACUCUUUUGCAUUAUAGCAGUGGGUACUUGGGGCUGUUAAAGUACUUAACACUUAAAGUGUAGUCACUUUUGUUGGUUUAGGAUCCCAUCCGCUUCUACUCCCUUUACAUUACCUGGGAGGUCUUUGGGGACUGUUAAAGUGCUCAUUUGCACCUGUGGUGCCCUCUGUUCGUCUAGGAUCCGAUGCCCUCUAACUCCCUUUGCUGUAUUACAGCACGUGGUACUUGGGACUGUUAAUGUGCUUAAAUACAGGUGUGGUCCAUUUUGCUAGUCAUGACCACCUCCUCCCUUUAUAUUACCUGGGAGCAGAUCUCGUACUGAAAGGUGCUUAAUUGCAGCCGUGUUCCCUUCUGUUAGUUUAGGAUUCUACACCUCCAACUCUGCAUUACAGCAGAGAAUACUUGGGCCUGUCAAAUGCUCACAGCUGUGGUACCUUCUGUCUUGUAGGAUCCCAUGCCCACCAACUCCCUUUACAUUAUCUGGGAGUAUAUUUGGGGAGGAUAAAGUGCUUAAUUUUAGCAGUGGUUCCCUUUGUUAGUAUAUUUUCCCAUGCCCUCCUACUGUCUUUGCAUUAUAGCAGAGGGUACUAGGGACUGUGAAUGUGCUUAAAUGCAGUUGUGGUCCCUCUUGUUAGUCUAGGGUCCCAUGCCCUCUCACUCCUUUUACAUUACCUCAGAAGGUACUUGGGACUAUUAAGGUGUAUCCCAUUCACUCACACCCUGUUAACGUUACAGUAGGGGUUUGCUGAAAACCAAGGCCCCCCCUUUUUUUGCAUUGUUAAUGUGCAUAAUUGUAUUUGUUCCUUUUUCUCUGCAGUAGAUAAGAUUUCACUAAUUUCCCAUGUAUUCAGUAGUGGAUGCACUUUAUUUAAGACCUUUGUACUAGGAUAAAGUGAACCAUGGUAAUUGACCACACUUUGUCUUUCAUUUAAGUCCUCUGUACUCUCUUGGAAUUAAUUACCUCAGUUACUUUUUUCCAGGACUAUUUGUGUGCAAAAUUCCAAUGAUUAUGGUCCUUCUCUUUAAAAUAAUUUCCCACCUUUUUUAUAUUACAUCAGGGGAUGCUAAUAUCUCAAAGUUCUUUUCUUGGAACUCAGUGUGCAUGUGCCCUCUUGAUAAGCUAAUAUCCUUACUUCUUAGUAUUAUAUGGGGGUACUGACCUACAGCCUUUCUGUUGGACAGUUAAGCCAAAUUGCACUGGGAUCCCACCCCCAUAACACCUUCUCUGUGUCAGGGGUGCUGACCAACUAUGACUGCUUCUCCUGUGCAGUUUAAAUGUGCAUAAUUAGAGCAAUCCAUGCUCCCUUAUGUUAGAGUAAGAUCUCAUUUCCUUGCCCAAUUUACAUUAUUCCAGGGGCUUCUGACUAGCCAAGAUUCACUCCCUUGGACUGUUUGUGCAUACUAAACAUUUGCUCUUAUACCUGUACACCAGGUAAGCAUCCUCCCCAUACUAUUUAUAUUCUAGCAGGAGGUGCCUACUACUCAAGAUAUUACACACUAAUGCAGUUUAAUGUGCACAACCUUGUUGUUUUGUACACACUCAGUUGUCCACAACUGUGCCUAAGUUCAGGACUUUGCACUUACUGAAACAGAGGUGACUGAUCACAUUAAAGCCUUUCUCUUGGGACUGUGGAUGUGUGUAGUUUCAGUUGUCCACUGUCCUUUGAGUUAACUUGGGUCCCUGACUCUUUUCAGAACCUCUAAGCUUUACUGCAUGGGAUACUGUCAAUUUAAGGCCUCUUUCUCAAACUGUUAAUGUACAUAAUGACAAUUAAAUUAGGAUUCUUACCCUUCACACUGCCUUUGAAGUACUGCAGGAAAUUCUGACCCAUAAGGUCCCAUUUCUUGGCCUGUUAAGAUGCAUGAUUGUAUUUGUCUGGGUUCCUGUGUACUAGAGAAGAACACCUCUCACCACUCCCUCUUAUCUAUUAUCUAUUACGCAGGGAGUGCCCCCUCUACAAGGCUGUUACACUUGAGCAGUCAAGGAACACAAUUGUAAUUGACCACAACCAUGCACCAUGGAUAUUAAUGUGCAUAACUGCACAUGGCUCAUCCCAUUUGAAUAAGGUACUACCCUCUCAGACCCCUUUUGUAGUAUAGCAGGGGUACUGAUCACUAAGGCCUUUAUUCAUGGCCUGUGGUUAUGCGUAAUUGCAUUUGUACAUGUUUCUGUACACUGAAUUAAGGACACCCCUCUCCCCACUCCCUUUACCUUUUAGCAGGGAGUGCCCAUUACUUUAAGAUCCUUAUAUUUGUACAAGGUACAUGGUUUUAAUUAACCAUACCAUAUCCCUUAGGCAUUAAUGUACAUAAUUGCAGCUUAGUUCGUCCUACCCUGUUGUAUGUCAUUGCAGUAUACCAAGGUUGCUGACCCCUAACUUGUCCUGUUAAUGUGCAUAAUUGCAUUUGUCUGGGUUCUUAGGCACUAGAUGAGGAGACACCACCCACCCCUACUUCUAAGCCUUCCAGUAGGUGGUGCCCAUUGCUAAGACAUUUACAUUUGGAUAGUUAAUGCGCAGAAUUGUAGUUUUCCACAACCCUGUCACUUCCAAAACUAUCAUACCUCCUUUGCACUGCUGCAGGGGAUACUCUUUUCUCCCAAAGGUCCUUGUAGCAAACCGCUAACAUUCAUAAUUGAAAUUGUUCUGUUGUCUUCAGUAGACUAAGGUCCUAUACCCUCACCUUCCCUUUGCAAUACAGCAGAGUGUGCUGAUGAACUAAGGCCCUCUUUUGGACUGUUAGUACGUGCAAUUGCAUUUUUUCCUGUUUUAUGUACUCAAUAAGGACCCUACCUACUUCCUUAGCAUGUUUAGCAGGUAGUGUCCACUAUUUAAAACUCUUUCACUUGGAAAGUUCAUGCGUAUAAAUGCAGUUUGCUAAGCAUGCCUUAUACUAGAACCCCUGUACCCUCUUUGCUUUGGAGUAAGGAGAUGCUAUUUUCCUAAUGCCCUUUCUUUUGGACUUUAAUGUGUAUAAUUGCAAUUGUCCAUCUUUUCUGUUGGACUAGGAUUGCAUCCCCUCAAACUCCCUUUGCAUCAGGGGCAUGUUAACCAUAAAUGAGCUCUUCCUGAGAGUAUUAAUAUACAUACUUGUAUUUGUUUGUGGAUUUGUGCAGUGUGAAAGGAUGCUUUAUGCCCCUACCAUUGCCUUUGGAUUGCUGCUGAGGACUGCUAUCAUGACCUCAGCUCUUGGACAAUUAAUAUGCCCCACUAGCAAUGAUGGGACCUAUGUACUCCCUUUGUAUACAUCAGGGGUACUGACUAAGGUCCCUUUCUUGGACAGUCAAUGGGCAAUUAUCUAUGUUCCCUUCUGUUAGAUUUAGGAUAACAUUCCCUUAAACCCCCUUUGCAUUACUAUAGUAAUUACUAUUACUAUAUUACUAUACUAUUAUACUUUGUGCUGACCACACAAAACUUCUCCUGGGACUGUUAAUGGGCACAAUGGCAAUUAGCAAUGAGUUUUUCCUCCCUGGCCUUGUUAGGCAAACAUUCCCAGCCCCAAUUUUGCAUGACAUAAUUUAAGUAUAAACAUUGCAGUAUGCUGUGAACUUGUCUAUCAAAUAGCAACCCAUACUCCCUCUCCUUUUGUAUUGCUCCUAUCUAUAAAAUUCCAAGUAGUCAUGGUCUUCCCCUUAUCCUCCCUCUUCCCAACCCGUGCUCACCCUUGGACCCUUCCUAUGGACCUUUGUCACAGUUUCAGGUGUUCAUCUAUUCAGCCAUUAAAUAAGAUUGUCCCUCCCCCCCCCUUUGCAUUAUUGCUGGGGAAUGUUGACUGGGCAAGGCCCUUGCUCUUGGACUUAAAACAUUAACAAUCCCUGUGUCAUUGCCUUACCCACUUUAUAUUGCUGUAAUGCCUCAGUUGUACUUUCCUUAGUCCCACCCAUCGGACAUGGACCCCUCCACUUCUUUGCAUUGUAUUGCUGACUACCCAAAGUCCCUUCUGUGUUAUUGACACAGUACUGAUUGUCCCAUUUUUCCGCUCAUCAGCCCACGAUUUUCCUACCACUUUGAUGUCAAGUGUGCAGUAUUGACUACCAAAAGCAGACCUGAAUUAAGUGGAUGGGCCUUCACUCCUUUUUCUGCAUUUGUUAAUGAUCCAAUUCCAGUUGUCACAUUCUGGGACAGGAACCGUCCCUACCCACCUUUGUUACUGCUUUACUGAGCAAAAUGCUCAAGGCAAGUCAGGCCUAGAAAGCCAGAUUGCUGCCCUUUAUUAUGGAUUUUCAAUAUAAGUAUCAGUUGAAAAUUGUCUCCCCAGGAAGAAAGGUUAGCACCAUCUGUGCAUUCUUCCUUCCAGAGCAGAUUGCCUGGCCAAGAAUCUCUCUUCCCCUCUUGUAUAUUGCUAGUGUACAGUGCCGGUUGCCAGGAUACAAUAAAAAAAAAAUGCUGUUUGCAAGAUGGAAUUGUAAACCUGGUCAUUUAAUUUUUGAAGUCCAAAAACCCAUUUAUACUAUGUACCUGAUGACCAGUGUCUCUCAUUUUACUAUGGGUGGUGGGUCUGUGGAUAGACCACUGUGAAUCUUGCUAUUUUAGUAUUCCCAAGAGUUCUAGAGCAGAACUCUUCAGACACAUAUCUUUGGGCUCUACCACCAUUUUAAAACCAUUCUUUAUUCGGGCUUUACCACCGUUCACUUUUAGAAAAACUACCUAAACUUUCUAAUCCUUAAAUUUCUUCAUCUGGAUCAUCAACCACACUUAUUUCAAGAAGAUUGCUGUAAAAGAAUGAACUGAGAGAACAUAUGCUGAGGCACUUUGGAAAACCAUAGUUCACUUUACCUGAUUAAUCUAUUACAUAAAUAAAAUGCACCCUGUUUAAUUCUGCUAAUUUAAAGUAGCCUGAAGCACUACACUGAAGUGAGGACUUAGAAAUGAUGGGACCAAUUUCCCUGUUUUAUAUUAAAGGAAAAAUAAGCCAAGAUCUAGUCAUUCUUCUGGACAUAAAUUUUCAACCGUGAGAUAGCUUCCUGGUAAAAUGAAUAAUAUCCUAGCCUCUAGUGUGCAGGGUGUGGCAGAGAAGUAUCUAAUAUGGAACUGCUGAAGCAAAUAACUAGUCAUCACAACAGCAGUUCUUUGUAAUCACUGAAAAAGGAUACUAUUCCUCUAACAAGGAUGUCAAAAGAUCGGCCCAGCUCAGGGUGCAGUAUGCACUACUAGCUCCUUGGACCGCUGUAAGAAGAGUCUCUGGCUCUUUAGAAUACUGGAUGAAUUCUGAGCUGGUUUUGUACCUCCAGUCAAGAGGAAGGAUGGAUCAACUUUAAGUGGAUUGAAGCCUGCACUAGACAGCAUCCAAAGGUUUCUCAGCAGUUCUGGUAACCUCCUGAGCCCUGUCUUUCUUCUCAAGGACAUUCAGAGCAUGUGAAACCUGAGGACUGCAAGUAGGUAUCUUCCUCAGAAGAAUAGGCUUGUUGCUCUAUAGUGUUAGUGACCCGUUCCCUUUGACGAUCCCUAGGUGGAGAUGGGGCAUGAGGAUCCUCCAGGGGAAAAGCUCACUACCACUGGGCAACAACCCUAGGCCAGGAGGUUCUACCAAGAUUCUUCCCUGGGCCCAGGGAGGAAGAUGAAGUCUCAAAACAACCACCACCCAUCAGAGGUGGGAGAACAUGGGCAACAAGUGCCACAUCUGUAACCUUGAUCAUGGGCAGAUCACCAUUUUGGACCCUCUGGUCCCCAGAGUCUUUCUUGAGGCCCUGUUGGGGAAUUUUGACAAUCAUUUACAUACUUCAAGAUGGCUUAGGAUGUCUUUGGGAUAAAACACAAAACAAGCUGUUUGAGAAGAUAAAUAGGAAUUGUAUACUUGCUGAUUAAUGGAACCUGACCAGAAAUGGCACAAAGUUUCUGUUGUCAGCUCCUGAUUGUUCCCUUCUUAUCUGCCAAAUCACUGUCUCCCAAAAGCAGUGCAGAGUGCAAGAAAGUGGAACAUACCAAAGGAAGAUCAACAUGCCUGGCAUGCUACCAUUUUAGAACAGCAGAAUGAAUGUGUAUGUCUUUGCUUGUCUAUUUCUUUCUUGAAUCUCUUUGGUUGUCUUUCUCUGUCUAAAGUGUGUCUUAGCCAUCCCAUGAUUCUCUUGCUAGUUUCUUCUCUGUAUCUUUGUCUCAUUUUGUUUUUUGUUCCUAAGAGUGGUCUGUGCCUUGUCUUAGAUGUCUCUCUCUAGUUUUUUUGUUGUUGUUGUUACUGAUUCUCUUUACUCUCCUAGAACUGGCUCUUCUUUCACUGUUCUUCCCUUUUUGUCUCUGAGUCACAUGCUGUGUGCUUUUUGUUCAUUUCUUGUUCUGCCUAUACCUCUCUUCUUUUACUGUUGUGAACUCUUGAUUGUUCGUCUUCCCUUCCCCUUGUUGUUGGUUUGACGUUUCACCUUUUUCUCAUUCUGGCUUCCCUUCUGCUUUUUCUACUCAUUGUCUCACAUUUCUCUUUUCUAUAUAUUUGUUCUGCCUCUCUUGGCCAUUUUCUGUCUUUUUUCCCCCUGCUAAGUGUCUCUUUGUUCUUUGUGAUUUUCCAUUUCAGCAUUCAUCUCUGUUCUUUGUGAUUUUUCAUUUCAGCAUUCAUCUCUGUUCUUUGUGAUUUACUAUUUCAGCAUUCAUCUCUGUUCUUUGUGAUUUACCAUUUCAGCAUUCAUCUCUGUUCUCUUGUUUCUUCUCUGCUUUUCCCCUUCUGCUUACCUUUGAGUAUUUCAGUCUCUAUAUGUGUCUGUGUUCCCCCCUCUUUGACUUUAUGCAGUCCUCUCUCCUUGCAUAUUUUUGUGCAUCUGUGUGGUCAUGUGUGUGUGUUUGUAACAAAGGGGUUUCCUAACCCCUUCCCAAUAGGUACAGAGUGCCAGCUAUCAAAAUCAUGCAGAGCUGUUCGUUAUGCCAGGACACCUUGUGAGAUGAUCUAAGACCUAUGAUGGACAGAAGGUGGAAGACCCAGAAUGGAUAGAAGGCCCAAUGGUUUGAGACUUGAGACCUGAGGACAAACAUGGAAAACCUGUGUUUCAAGAUAGAUGGAAUCCUCAGGCUUGAGACCAACAAAGCCCUGACAGCUAUGAUGUAAAAAGGUGGCUCUUGUUGGAGAGAAGACCUGACUGAGUUGGAUGGAAAGUUCAAAUCUUGAGUUAGAAGUCCAAAGACCCAGAGUGGGAGACUGUAGGCCUAAGUGUGGGGACCCAUGGAAGGCUUGAGACCUAAGACACAAGGUCUAAGACUUGAGAUAAAAACCUAAGAUCCAGGAUGGAAGGCCCCAGACACACAUAAAGACCCAGGACUCCUGCCUGUCUAAAUGGACAGAAGGCCGAAGAGAGAAAGAUGUCUCAAGGCUAAAUUAGGUGGGAAGCUGGAAGCCCAUGACACAGAAUCUGGGAAGAAUAGAAGCCCCAAGACCAAAGGAAAUCCCAAGAUGAAAACACUAAACCCUAGCUUCUUUCUAUUGCUGCCCUCCCUACCCCUUGACAUUUUCAGUUCUCCCUUUCCAGUUCUUAUGUUUUCAUUUAAGCCCACUUCUUUUGAGGAGCCCUUUUUGAUGUUGCUCUUACCUUAGGAAACGUAUCUUUAGAUUGGCAAUAUUAUGCUUGGGCCAGUCUUAAGCCAAAUUUUAUCACAGUUUUGAGCCAUUUAUUGUUUAUUUUUUAAAUUUCCAUUUCUCUUCACCUCUGCUCCUUGAGAGACACAUAUAGGUAACAUUGUAUUUCAGUCCUCCCUUUUCCUUAGAAGCUCUAGCCUGAUGAGCAAAGGCAAGCAUCAGGCUGUUGGGGGAAAAAAAGUGCCAGGCUAUCUAGAGGAAAUGUGAAGAGAUGUUCCAGGCCAAUGAGAAGAAUUAGACAAGAAAUACCCAGAUGUGCCAUCCUGUUGAGAAGCACCAGCCUGCAACACCUUUCUUCUUUGAGCUUGGGUGAGCAGGAUUCUUGGGGUUUGGGAUUCCUAGUAAUGGUUACAAAAUGAAUGAUUGGGCCUGGGAUGGAGUGAGGCUCCAAAGAGACAGUUUGAACUCCCUGCUUAUAGUAGUGGCCUAAUAAUUUGGUAGAUUGUGCUAGCACUGCUCCUGGGUUUAAUACCCACCUCUAGGCUUAAAGGUGAGAGAACUUGGGAAUAUUAGCAGGUUUAAUCCUUUCCUUGAUUUUUCCCCCCUUACCACGAGGGCAGAUAAUUUAAAUAACUGAGAAUAUAUGUGAAAGCACUGUAAAGCACAGAAAAAACAAGGCAUUCUCAUUAAUAGUAUAUUGGCAGCCAUGCACAGCUAACAUUUAAAGUGCACUGUCAGUUGUGAAGCAUUAUGUAAAUCAGGAGUCAUCACACACUUUCCAUAAAGGGUCAGAUGGUAAAUAUUUUAGGUUUUGUGGGCCAUAUGGUCUCUGACACAUUUUUUUCCUUUAUAACCCUUUAAAAAGGAAAAACUAUUCUUAGCUGGUGAACCAAGUAGAUUUAGUCUGGGGGCCAUAGUUUUUAUCACCCCUGAUGUAAAUACCAGGGACUAUGUGCUGAAUAAUAAUAUUUCUGUAUGCCUGUCCCUGUGUACUAAGGAUGCAAUAUUUAUUUAUGAUCACAUCCAGGUGACUUGAAGAAAAAUAUGUGAAUGUGCUUUGUAAACUAUAAAGCACUUAAAGAUUUAUGAGUUUCAGAGUUGAUGAAUGAAUAUUGAUUACAUAGUAUCUAUAUUCUAAAAGAAGCCUGAAUAAAGUACUUUGUCAAAACUAUAUAAUACUAUGCAGAUACUAGGAAUUGUUUGAAAAAUGAAUAACUCCUAUAUUUGUGGCUAUCGUGUUUCUGCUGCUCUGGUAAUUUUUAGGUAAAAAUACAGUAUUCCAGGUAGCAGAGAAGCAAACACAUGGAAACUGCUUUGAAACCAUAAAAUAUACUGCAAGCACAGGGUAUUAAACUAUUGUGAGCCCUUAAAAUGUGCCGGAUACCAUGGUAGGUGCUACAGAUGUCAAAGGGAAAAGAAGUGUUCUCAUUAUGGAAUUAAAAAUUUCAGAGUAUGAGGUGCAUGUUAAAGUGCUUUAUAUACUAAAGCACUAUAUAAAAGCCAGUGGGUUACAUGUUUAUGAAUGGAUGAAUAUUAAUUUCCUUUUAUGGGCCCGGUACUGUUUGGGUACUGUGAAAUCUAAAAUAAUGCUCCCAUGUAAUAAGAGGGAGGUUUAUGUCCGAGACUAUUUAGAUAUAAGGAAUUAGAUAUUGCUUGUUUUAAUCAAGACUUUACUGGUCAUGUCAAAUUAAAUGAUCAGUGUAUUUUACCAGGUGACGGGAAAAUGUAAUGAUUGAGAUCGCCCUUGCACUUUCUAAAGUGCUCUAUAAAUAUAGGACAUUAUCUAUUUUCUGUGUGAAUAAAACUUUCUGUGAGAUAGGCAUUUUCUGUACAAAAUUCUCAUUGUGUGCUUGACUAUGAUGAAGGUAGUAUAAACAGUUAUACAAACUGAGGGUUUAAAUACUUGUUGAAUGAAUGAAUAUCAUCAGUUGCUCACUAGGUAAACUCACUAUUAUAGGCACUAAAGAGAUAGACUUAUCAUUUCAUUGUGCUUACAGCUGAGAAUAAGGCAAUACAUGUGUAGUAUUUUGGAAACUCUAAAGCACCUUAUAAGUUUAACUACUUAUUUUCUAAUUUGGUGCUGAGUACUAGGCUUAUAAAAUUAUAUUGCAGUCAUCAUUAUACUAUGAAAAAAGUUGAAAAAUUUUUGAGGAAAAAUUACCUCUUGAACACUCUGAAUGUAAUAUAUAAAGGAUUAAAUAUCUGAUAAAUAUAAAACUGGAUAAUAAUUGUCUAUUAUGUGCCAAUCUCAUAAGUCAUUGGCGAUGUGAAAUUAGACCAUCUUUAUUGUGUCCUGGGUAGCAGCAGAUAAUGUAUAAAAUCAAUUUAUAAGUUUUAUACUGCCAAAACAAUAUCUGCUGAGUGAACAUUGAUUAUUUACUCUCUUUUAUCCCCAGAGAUAGCAAGUGGGGAUGCAAAAAUUCGUUAUCAGAGAUGUGCAAAUUUACAGAGCCUACUGUUCUAUACAGAUAUAAGGAAAUAAUUUGGCUUAAUGAAUGAUUACUGGUUACUUUCUAUGAGGCUCAGAACUGUCCAUGCCCUACGAUACGAAAAUGAUUUUAUCCUUAUGGGGUGUUCAUUGGAGGAAAUAAGCAAAUAGGUGGGAGAUCCAGACUAAAAGUUACUUAAGCACUGCAAAGCUUAUUUAAUAAAAACAUGGGGAAAAUGGAAUUGUGCCAGGCAGUAUGCUAAAUGCUGACCUCUGUGGAAAGAUAAAAUCUGAAUCAGAGGUGUACUUGCUCCCUGGCCUGGCUGAAGAGAUGGGAAAUAUUUUUAAAAAGCAAGGUGUUACAGUUCUCUCAGUCUUUAAAAUGCUGAAUGCUGAAGGUGGAAGUGAAUUCAAUCCACCCUGGUCUGGCUUGAGUCAUUAAAGGAGUAAAAAUAAAUGACUCAGGAGUAAAAAGCAAAUGGCUUUGUUUUUAGAUUCAUUUGAGAUGAAAGACCUCGUUCUAGGUCCUAAGAGAAGUGAAAUGGGCCAAGUCUAAAGGGCAUUAGAAUACAGAUUAUGGAUGAAGAUAAGAAAAUACUGAGUUUUGAGCAAAUAUUUGAGUGCCUGUUCUCCGGAACGUAUUAUGCUAGAAAAAUUAGUUAAGUGGGUCUGGUCCAGAAAAUGCACAUUGACAUGCCUUGGAGAUUAAAAAAAUAGAAAAAUAAGGCAUGGUUCUUUUAAUAUUAAAUGAAGACAUUAUUUCUAGUUCUAGAAAGUCUCAAUGUCACUUGCUCAUUGACCUAGUUUGAAGCCCGAAGACUGAUACAAGGGCGCUUAGGACUUGUCCUUUUAUUCGUUACUUUAAUACUCUGUUUUUAUUAUAGAUGAAUGAUUUAAGAUGAGAAUUAAGAUGAAAUAACUGGUUUUAAAAAUAUUUGCUCAUUGACCUGGCUUAGAGUCAGGAAGCCACUUGAGCAGAUUUUUUUCCCUACAUUUUCCAUAUUUUGUAAAAAUUUAUUUACCCUGAAUAAAGUACUGUUCUCAGAUGCUGAGAAUUAAGAAAUAAAAGUCCUAGACCAAAAUGUAAUUUAAUCUCAAUAGUCUAUGGUGGAAACACAAGAACAAAUUUAAUAAGAGACUGCAGUUCUUUUAUUACUUGAAUAAAUGUUAUUGAGCAGCUAGGAUAUUAAGACACUAAGAACAAGUGACCACCUUCUCUUUGGCAUGUUUUGUAGAGUGGGAAUAAGAGAGGGCUUUCUAUUAAUUCAUACUAAUACUGAAGGUGAUGUUAAAUUGGAACAGAUCUGGUAUAAAAUGCACUUAGUUUAUCUUGGAGAUGCAAUAAAACAAAACAACACAAAAAAUGGAAUGAAAUUCUUCCUUAAAUGGAAGUGUCUAUUUAAAGGUAUUCUGUUGCUAGACAGAAAACAAAAAAGAUCAUGACUGAAAGAAACUGAUUUUUUAUUAGCUUGGAGACUAGGAUAUAAGAGGUUACUGUUCAUUUCUUCAUUUAUGCAUUCUACAAGUAUGUUUGAGUGCCUUUUAUGUAUAAGGUUUUUUGCUAUGUUCCCAGUUCUCCUCAGAGACACGAAAAAAUGAAUGCUUUCCUAUAGAACUUUUAAAACUUUGCUUUUGGCCUGUUUUCUGAUUAGGGGCAUGGCUUAGUCCCUUAAUAAUGUUGUAGGUUUUAAUUCCUGUUCUGUGUUUCUUCUACCACUCUGGCCACUACAGUAAGCAGGGUUUUCUAUUGAGCUAGCUCUUUAAGUGUGAGGAACUGUCCUUAUAGUAGAAUUACUUUAUUUUUCUUGGCCCAUCCCUCAGAAAAAAUGGCUGUGACCACUGCUAGGCAGAAGGAGGGAUGAGAAACAACUAAUUCCCAAACCCCAGUCUCAUUGGUACCAGCCUUGGGGAAACACUCAUACUCAAGCCACAGUUGGUUUUGAAACACAUUUAUCAGUUUUAUUUGCUUUUAGUUCUUUACAUUUUACAUUCUGACAAAUAUACACUGCCUAAAUCUCUUUUAAGAACAAUCUUCAGAUGGUACAUAACAUAAUGGGAGAGACAUAAUUUCUCUUUUGCAACAGCUUUGCAACUUAAUCUUUAGAAAUCUCACCAUCAAAACAUGUUCAAGAAAGGAUCUCUUAUAGUGGAAUUAUGUCAGUGAAUAAAAAUAGCUUAAUUUUACCAUGUUUAAAAUUAUAAAAUAAUAGAAAUUGGAAGUAAUUGGCAAAAACUGGAGGUAAACAAUAAAAAAAUCCUCAAUCUAGCGCCCAACUGGGCUUUGACCUUUUCUAUUUUUAAAUCACUCACAGAGGGUGGGAUUAGGAGGAAGAGUGAAAGAGAAGGUCAAACCAGUUUUAAGGGCAGCCUGCUUGUGUUUUGGAUUGGUUUUAAGAACAUUACUACCUCCAAAUCAAACUAGGGGAUUGCUUUUUUUAGUUUAAUGCAAUUCCAAUAACUGGCCAUUGUUGAGAUGAAGACACAGUAGUUUUUGAGAAACAAUUUUGGACUAAAUGUUUAUCAACUAAAUACUAAUGUUUGGCUUUUAAUAUGUGGUAUCAGCUGGAUUCUGUAACACUCUUAUUUUCAGGUUGGGGUCGGGGAUUACAUUACUGGAAAUUGGAAAGGAGAAAGUAACUAAAAGCCUUCCUUUCACAGUUUCUGGCAUCUUAAGACUACUGCUACUGAUAAGAAUAAGAACAUGCUGCCAUCUGAUUUUUAUGGCAUAAAUGAAAUUGUGGACAAAUCCGUUUUUAAAGAAAAUGGCUUCGUCUCUACCUUUCUACCUAAAAAGGAAUCUAUGUCAAAUGCUCCAAUAAAUGGGAAGAUACACUUGGACUUGUGAACUGAUGUGAAAUGCAGAAUUUUUUAGCUUUGAGUGUUUUGAAGAUUGAAAAAUCUUGCUCAGCAUGGGUGACCACAAAAACAAUCUAAAGCCAUCUACAUGUCACAACUGAGAAAAAUUGGGGAAUGUUGUCUAAUGUCAAAUAAAAUGUACUGUUUUGAAA
Leptonychotes weddellii (Weddell seal) is the source of this 14003-nucleotide non-coding RNA. The record is from RefSeq and is a predicted model, not a curated record. Lineage: Eukaryota; Metazoa; Chordata; Mammalia; Carnivora; Phocidae.